AACGAACGUUAGCGGUGUGGAUUAGGCAUGCAAGUCGAGCGCGAAAGUCUUCGGACAAGUAAAGCGGCGAAAAGGGUGAGUAACACGUAACCAACCUACCCCUGAGAUCGGAAUAAACCGCUGGAAACGGACGGACGAAUGCCGAAUGGUCCGUCUAGGAAGGCAUCUUCUCAUAGGUAAACGGUGGCUUCGGCUGCUGC
This 200-nucleotide ribosomal RNA is filed under the name uncultured bacterium. RNAcentral describes it as "partial 16S ribosomal RNA". It matches the Rfam family "Bacterial small subunit ribosomal RNA", at positions 29 to 220 of the family's 1533-position model. The record is from RNAcentral.